Molecule: ribosomal RNA, 505 nt
Filed under: uncultured Glomus
Lineage: Eukaryota; Fungi; Glomeromycota; Glomeromycetes; Glomerales; Glomeraceae
Description: SSU rRNA
Rfam family: Eukaryotic small subunit ribosomal RNA
Source: RNAcentral
AGCAGCCGCGGUAAUUCCAGCUCCAAUAGCGUAUAUUAAAGUUGUUGCAGUUAAAAAGCUCGUAGUUGAAUUUCGGGAUCAAUAUAUCGGUCGUGCCUUCGGUACGUACUGGUAUCGUUGAUUUCUACCUUCUGACGAACCAUGAUGUCAUUAAUUUGAUGUCAUGGGAAAUCAGGACUGUUACUUUGAAAAAAUUAGAGUGUUUAAAGCAGGCACACGCUUGAAUACAUUAGCAUGGAAUAAUGAAAUAGGACGUUUGAUCUUAUUUUGUUGGUUUCUAGGAUCGACGUAAUGAUUAAUAGGGAUAGUUGGGGGCAUUAGUAUUCAAUUGUCGGAGGUGAAAUUCUUGGAUUUAUUGAAGACUAACUACUGCGAAAGUAUUUGCCAAGGAUGUUUUCAUUAAUCAAGAACGAAAGUUAGGGAUCGAAGACGAUCAGAUACCGUCGUAGUCUUAGCCAUAAACUAUGCCGACUAGGGAUCGGAUGAUGUUAAUUUUUAANGUACU